Unclassified non-coding RNA from Callithrix jacchus (white-tufted-ear marmoset), 297 nucleotides. It matches the Rfam family "Metazoan signal recognition particle RNA". From Rfam's summary of the family: The signal recognition particle (SRP) is a universally conserved ribonucleoprotein. It is involved in the co-translational targeting of proteins to membranes. The eukaryotic SRP consists of a 300-nucleotide 7S RNA and six proteins: SRPs 72, 68, 54, 19, 14, and 9. Lineage: Eukaryota; Metazoa; Chordata; Mammalia; Primates; Cebidae. The record is from Ensembl.
GCUGAGCAGCAGCGCGUGCCUGUAGUGCCAGCUACUCAGGAGGCUGAGGUGGGAGGAUCGCUUGAGCCCAGGAGUUCUGGGCUGUAGUACGCUGUGCCGAUCGGGUGUCCACACUAAGUCUAGCAUCAAUAUGGUGACCUCCUGGGAGCGGGGGACCACCAGGUUGCCUAAGAAGGGGUGAACUGGCCCAGGUCAGAAACAGAGCAGGUCAAAACUCCCGUGCUGAUCAAUAGUGGGAUCGCGCCUGUGAAUAGCCACGGCAUUCCAGCCUGGGUAAUGUAGCAAGACUCCCCUCUC